Molecule: long non-coding RNA, 2262 nt
Organism: Cavia porcellus (domestic guinea pig)
Lineage: Eukaryota; Metazoa; Chordata; Mammalia; Rodentia; Caviidae
Exons: 3
Source: RefSeq, a predicted model, not a curated record
GCGCCGCGCCGCACUGCACUCGGCCCGCGGGGAGGACGCAGCUCGGACCAGCUGAACCUCUUGUUGGUUUUAUACCGAGUCGACGUCAUCCUGGAUUUAGUUCCUGCCGCGUAGGGUCUGGACACUACUAUACAGUCCCUACCUAGUUCCUAAUACAACGAAGACCAAAUUCAACCACUAUUUUAGAAUUCACCACCGAGCGUAGCACCUUGAGUGUCGGUCCCAGCUGGACUCCCAGAGCCCCGGGCAAAGGUGGCCGUGCUCCCCAGAGGUGACCGCCGUGAUUUGCGGCGACUUUGGGGUAGCACGGCAGGAGACAGGGAACCCACCACUGCGUGCAGGCGGCUGCGCACCCGAGAAAAGGUAGGCGACGGGCAACACCGAGCUAAAGUAGUUCCCCACCCCCACCGCCGCCCGAGGUGCUUGGCCAAGGCACAAGUCCUCGAGCUGGCACAGCUGGCUUUGCGCUGGCUGCUCUGGCCACUCCAGCAGAUGAAGCAUGCAGUGAGACUGAAGAGUGACUGCGCAGGGCCGGCGUGGGGGACACCUCGGGCUCCUCAAGGAAGGCCGCCUUCACUCCUGCCUGGUGUUCCCGACUUCUCUCUCUGGCUAAUAAGCGCGCGCACACACACAGGGCGCCCGCAGAGUUGUCUAGAGUCCCUGCAGCAGGGGUGCUUGUGCUGCAGCCUCCCCAGCGCUGGGGAAAAGAGGAACACAGUGAACUUGAGCCACAGGUUCCGGCCUGGGUGCGCAGAACCACUGGUGCAACUGGGCAGCAGCAUUUUUUGCAGGCCUUAACUCGGUCCUCUGGGUCCAAACGCCCACCUGAUCGGUCAUUUGUAGCCUAGGAGACUGGGUUCUAAGCCAUGCAAACUCGCGUGGCUGUUAGGGAACGAUUAGGACACAAUGGGGAUGAGCCUCAGUUUGGACUUAAAAACACAAAACAAUAAAAACUGCUCAAGAAGGGAGUGUAACCCUCUCCUUCAGAGAUGCCAGGUCUGUGGCAAAACUGGGUGCCCCUCUCGACCUGCUACCUAGGGAGGGAGGCACUUUUCUCCUUUGCAGACUCCUAGGAGUCACCGGGAUGCAAGGCACAGUCCUGGCCGCCAGCCCUUCGCAGCUUCAGUCCUUGGGCAAGUGAUGGAAGGGAACUGAAGCCUUGGAACCUCGGCCAGCCUUUGUGACGGUGGCAGGGUGUGCUGCCCUCUGCUCAGAGUGGAUCUUGUAAGACUUUCGCCAGAGUCUGAAGUUAACUGGCAAACUGCUGUGGGAUGUUUGGGGCCAUCCCCAUCUGUCCAGUUUUGCAAGGGGUGCUUCAGAGCAACACUGGCCCGAGUGCUCAGCCCUGGACCCAAAAGAGGGCCUGCAAGAUUUUAAAAAUGUAAAAAUCCUCACCCGCGCGGCGCUGUGUGUACCCUCCCUGUGGUACAUUGUUCUUAACCGUCAGAUCCAUGAAAGCCGUAGCCAGCGUCUCUUUGCUGCAGCCGCCUCGCUGUACAUGCGGCUCUGGAGGGACAGACGCUGUGCAUGCCUGUGAGUGUCGGAUCUGAAAACUGAUCAGGCAAAUUUGAAGGCCUCAAGAUUUUAUUUAUUUAUUUUUGGCAAUUGAACUUGGGACCUUUGCAAUGAGGUAUAUCCCCAGCCCCAUUUUUAUUUUUUGACACAGGGUCUUCCCCAAGUCUAUAGGCUGGGCUCCUAACUUGUGGCCCUCCUGCCCCAGCCUCCCAGAGAGCUAGGAUUUGCAGGCAAAGGCUACCAGGCUGGGUUUCCAAGAUUUUAAUAGAUUGAACCAAGUCUGGCCUUCAUCGGAUCCCUUUCAGCCCUAAUACUGUGAGAGUGACGGUCACCGGCAGGCCAAGUUAGAUUACAGGUGGACCUGGGGGCCCUUUCUUGUUCUUUAUUUUAGGAGGAAGAAGGGUGAGGUCCCCACCCCUGCCCCCAGCCUGGGGCAAGGUCUGUGGAAGAGCUAGGUCCCAGAUAAGAAAAAGGGAAUCUGCUGGCUCUUUCCUUGCUGAGGGAACUUUCCAGAAAGGGUUCAGGGGACCUGGAGCCCCACACACUUUUCUCACUCCAGGGAACUCACCCCCCACGUGUAUUGGUACCUCUCCCAUCCUCUGCAACCUCCAACUGUGGGCUAAACGCUGUUCUGGGGACGCAGAAGCUGGGGAAAGCAGCCCAGGUUUCUGCGCCCCGCUAAGCCUUUUCAGCAGCGGACCCCCACAAGUGUUCCAGGGACAGACGCGCUACACAGUCUCGCCCUGG